RNAcentral lists this ribosomal RNA (433 nucleotides) under uncultured bacterium. RNAcentral describes it as "partial 16S ribosomal RNA". It matches the Rfam family "Bacterial small subunit ribosomal RNA", at positions 29 to 507 of the family's 1533-position model. The record is from RNAcentral.
AACGAACGCUGGCGGCAUGCCUAACACAUGCAAGUCGAACGAGACCUUCGGGUUUAGUGGCGCACGGGUGCGUAACGCGUGGGAACCUGCCCUUAGGUUCGGAAUAACUCCCCGAAAGGGGUUCUAAUACCGGAUAAUGUCUUCGGACCAAAGAUUUAGCGCCUUUGGAUGGGCCCGAGUUGGAUUAGCUAGUUGUUAGGGUAAAAGCCCACAACGGCGACGAUCCAUAGCUGGUCUGAGAGGAUGAUCCGCCACACUGGGACUGAGACACGGCCCAGACUCCUACGGGAGGGAGGAGUGGGGAAUAUUGGAAAAUGGGCGAAAGCCUGAGCCAGCUAUGCCGCGUGAGUGAUGAAGGCAUUAGGGUUGUAAAGCUCUUUUACCCGGGAUGAUAAUGACGGUACCGGGAGAAUAAGCACCGGCUAACUCCGUG